This 215-nucleotide long non-coding RNA is filed under the name Setaria italica (foxtail millet). RNAcentral describes it as "long non-coding RNA (SITA_LNC001356)". Lineage: Eukaryota; Viridiplantae; Streptophyta; Magnoliopsida; Poales; Poaceae. The record is from RNAcentral.
UAUAAUCCGCUCAAAAUCAUGGAAUCACGCCAAAGUAAUGUAAUAGCAGAUUGCAUAAAUGUAUAUUAUAAAUUGAGACUCGCAGCACGUCUACGUGAGAAGAUAAUAAGCUUAGCGAACACGUAGUUCUCUCCCAAAAAAUCAAUUUCGCCGCUCAAGUUCAAGUCUGAUCCAGUGGGUGGUUGAUGGAGAUAUUGGACCUGACAUCGGCGUCG